Molecule: unclassified non-coding RNA, 342 nt
Filed under: uncultured fungus
Lineage: Eukaryota; Fungi
Description: partial contains small subunit ribosomal RNA, internal transcribed spacer 1, and 5.8S ribosomal RNA
Rfam family: Eukaryotic small subunit ribosomal RNA (bases 1-73)
Source: RNAcentral
GCAAACUUGGUCAUUUAGAGGAAGUAAAAGUCGUAACAAGGUUUCCGUAGGUGAACCUGCGGAAGGAUCAUUAUUGAGUAACCACCAGUAGGUAGACUGGCUCUCUGGAGCAUUGUGUCUGCUUGCUGUCUCAACUCAUCCCCCUGUGCACCUUUUGUAGUCCUGUUGGGAAGAAUGACUGGCCUUCUAUUUGGGAGGAUUCGGUCUGAAUUCCUCAGGUCUAUGUUCUUUCAUAACACUGUAGUAUGUUACAGAAUGUGAUCAAUGGGCCAUGUGCCUUUAAAACUAUAUACAACUUUCAGCAACGGAUCUCUUGGCUCUCGCAUCGAUGAAGAACGCAGC